This 319-nucleotide long non-coding RNA is filed under the name Ananas comosus (pineapple). RNAcentral describes it as "long non-coding RNA (ACOM_LNC026186)". The record is from RNAcentral. Lineage: Eukaryota; Viridiplantae; Streptophyta; Magnoliopsida; Poales; Bromeliaceae.
GGUUCAGUUCGGUUCUAAAGAUUACGGAAAAAAUCCGACAACACUUCUCAAAAUCGAGCCAAACUGAAAAUCGAAUAGUAAUAUUAUUGUCAUUUUUUAUCGAGUCGAGCUCCCGUGUUUUCAAAAGCACAGGAGCAUUUAUGCUCGUGAUUGUCUUAGUCAUUGGAUCGCCUCAAAAUUCGUGCAACACUGUUAACACUGUGUGUUCUGUAAAGUCUCAUUUACUAGUGUUGCACGGAUCUUGAGACGAUUCGAUGGCUAAAAAAACAUGCAAUUGCAAGCGCAUAUGUUCGUGUGCUUUCCAUAUAUUUAAAAAAUU